GUGAACGCUGGCGGUAGGCCUAACACAUGCAAGUCGAACGGCAGCACAGUAAGAGCUUGCUCUUACGGGUGGCGAGUGGCGGACGGGUGAGGAAUACAUCGGAAUCUACUUUUUCGUGGGGGAUAACGUAGGGAAACUUACGCUAAUACCGCAUACGACCUACGGGUGAAAGCAGGGGAUCUUCGGACCUUGCGCGAUUGAAUGAGCCGAUGUCGGAUUAGCUAGUUGGCGAGGUAAAGGCCCACCAAGGCGACGAUCCGUAGCUGGUCUGAGAGGAUGAUCAGCCACACUGGAACUGAGACACGGUCCAGACUCCUACGGGAGGCAGCAGUGGGGAAUAUUGGACAAUGGGCGCAAGCCUGAUCCAGCCAUACCGCGUGGGUGAAGAAGGCCUUCGGGUUGUAAAGCCCUUUUGUUGGGAAAGAAAAGCAGCAGGUUAAUACCCCGCUGUUCUGACGGUACCCAAAGAAUAAGCACCGGCUAACUUCGUG
Molecule: ribosomal RNA, 491 nt
Filed under: uncultured bacterium
Lineage: Bacteria
Description: partial 16S ribosomal RNA
Rfam family: Bacterial small subunit ribosomal RNA
Source: RNAcentral